AUGCGCGCCGGGCCGACGGGGUGGCGGCUCAGCGACGGGGGAGUGCCCGUUCCCCCGUUACCCGACGCCGUGGCGAAGCCCAUGUACUUCGCCGAGGAGGUCGAGGUCGCGCGCGCCUCCCUGACCGACGACGAGCGCUCCCUCCCCCAGUACACCGCCGGCAAUCACGCGGCUUGGGCAGCGUACUUCCAGCGCCGCCAGCAGCAGCGCCUGUCCUCCACCAACGGCGCGCCGGUGGUCGGCGGCGUGAAGAACAGCGUGGGGCGCCACCUGUGGUGGGGCGUCCCCGGCCGCACGCUGGAGGGCGUGCUGGCGCACCUCGACGGUGGCAACAACCCGCCGUUGACCUAUCCUGCGACGGGGGCCGCCCCGUCACAACACCGACGCGCAUGGGCGCCAAGGAGGUUCGUCUCCUCCUCGUCUUCCUCCUCUCGCUCAUCUUCCCACUCCUCCGGUUCUUCGGCGCUUCUCGGCGUCAAGGCCGAGCCCGCGACGGAGACACCAAUCGGUCGGCGCACUCGCAGCGUCGGCAUCGUCAUCAACGAGGGCGGCCGGCGCGCCCCCUCCUCGUCGGCUCCUCCGCGCUUCGUCAAGCCAAAGAUGGAGCCGGGGCUGGCGCCGGUGAAGACGGAGCCAGGGCUGGCGCCGGUGGAGGCGGAGUUCGACGACGACAACGCGGCUCUAGAAUGGGCGCGCGAGGACUCCAUUGCGAUGGAGAAAGCGUGUCGGGAGAAGUAG
Molecule: ribosomal RNA, 738 nt
Filed under: Triticum aestivum (bread wheat)
Lineage: Eukaryota; Viridiplantae; Streptophyta; Magnoliopsida; Poales; Poaceae
Description: partial small subunit ribosomal RNA
Source: RNAcentral